GUCAAGAUGGCCGAGUUGGUCUAAGGCGCCAGUUUUAGGUACUGGUCCGAAAGGGCAUGGGUUCGAAUCCAUUCUUGACA
This 80-nucleotide transfer RNA is filed under the name Nicotiana sylvestris (wood tobacco). It matches the Rfam family "tRNA". From Rfam's summary of the family: Transfer RNA (tRNA) molecules are approximately 80 nucleotides in length. Their secondary structure includes four short double-helical elements and three loops (D, anti-codon, and T loops). The record is from Rfam by way of RNAcentral. Lineage: Eukaryota; Viridiplantae; Streptophyta; Magnoliopsida; Solanales; Solanaceae. RNAcentral also lists the same sequence under 1 other name.